UGGGGAAUAUUGCACAAUGGAGGGAACUCUGAUGCAGCGACGCUGCGUGAGUGAUGAAGGAAUUCGUUUCGUAAAACUCUGUUCUAUGGGAAGAAAAGGACUGUACCAUAGGAGAAAGCUCCGCCUAAAUACGUGCCAGCAGCCGCGUUCAUACGUAUGGAGCGAGCGUUGUCCGAAAUUAUUGGGCGUAAAGGUUGCGCAGGCGGCUUUACAAGUUGGAUGUGAAAUAUUGUGGCUCAACCACAAACGUGCAUCCAAAACUGCAAAUCUUGAGUUAAGGAGAGGUAAGUGGCAUUCCUGGUGGAGCGGUGGAAUGCGUAGAUAUCAGGAGGAAUACCGGUGGCGAAGGCGACUUACUGGAAGUAAACUGACGAUCAGGCACGAAAGCGUAGGGAGCAAACAUG
RNAcentral lists this ribosomal RNA (404 nucleotides) under Fusobacteriota bacterium. RNAcentral describes it as "Fusobacteria bacterium partial 16S ribosomal RNA". It matches the Rfam family "Bacterial small subunit ribosomal RNA", at positions 355 to 776 of the family's 1533-position model. The record is from RNAcentral. Lineage: Bacteria; Fusobacteriati; Fusobacteriota.